GGNUNGGGCUCGACUCUCCCACCCUUUGUGAACGUACCUCUGUUGCUUUGGCGGCUCCGGCCGCCAAAGGACCUCCAAACUCCAGUCAGUAAACGCAGACGUCUGAUAAACAAGUUAAUAAACUAAAACUUUCAACAACGGAUCUCUUGGUUCUGGCAUCGAUGAAGAACGCAGCGAAAUGCGAUAAGUAAUGUGAAUUGCAGAAUUCAGUGAAUCAUCGAAUCUUUGAACGCACAUUGCGCCCCUUGGUAUUCCGGGGGGCAUGCCUGUUCGAGCGUCAUUACAACCCUCAAGCUCUGCUUGGAAUUGGGCACCGUCCUCACUGCGGACGCGCCUCAAAGACCUCGGCGGUGGCUGUUCAGCCCUCAAGCGUAGUAGAAUACACCUCGCUUUGGAGUGGUUGGCGUCGCCCGCCGGACGAACCUUCUGAACUUUUCUCAAGGUUGACCUCGGAUCAGGUAGGGAUACCCGCUGAACUUAAGCAUAUCAAUAAGCGGAGGAA
RNAcentral lists this ribosomal RNA (502 nucleotides) under Lasiodiplodia theobromae. Its description in RNAcentral is "eukaryotic LSU rRNA". The stretch from base 127 to 280 matches the Rfam family "5.8S ribosomal RNA". Lineage: Eukaryota; Fungi; Ascomycota; Dothideomycetes; Botryosphaeriales; Botryosphaeriaceae. The record is from RNAcentral.